This 373-nucleotide ribosomal RNA is filed under the name uncultured organism. RNAcentral describes it as "partial 16S ribosomal RNA". It matches the Rfam family "Bacterial small subunit ribosomal RNA", at positions 527 to 896 of the family's 1533-position model. The record is from RNAcentral.
GUAGGUGGCAAGCGUUGUCCGGAAUUAUUGGGCGUAAAGCGCGCGCAGGCGGUCCUUUAAGUCUGAUGUGAAAGCCCACGGCUCAACCGUGGAGGGUCAUUGGAAACUGGGGGACUUGAGUACAGAAGAGGAAAGCGGAAUUCCAAGUGUAGCGGUGAAAUGCGUAGAGAUUUGGAGGAACACCAGUGGCGAAGGCGGCUUACUGGUCUGUAACUGACGCUGAGGCGCGAAAGCGUGGGGAGCAAACAGGGAUUAGAUACCCUGGUAGUCCACGCCGUAAACGAUGAGUGCUAAGUGUUAGGGGGUUUCCCGCCCCUUAGUGCUGCAGCUAACGCAUUAAGCACUCCGCCUGGGGAGUACGGCCGCAAGGCUG